This 292-nucleotide long non-coding RNA is filed under the name Capsicum annuum. RNAcentral describes it as "long non-coding RNA (CANN_LNC015024)". Lineage: Eukaryota; Viridiplantae; Streptophyta; Magnoliopsida; Solanales; Solanaceae. The record is from RNAcentral.
CGACGGUGCCGUCGCCGGAGCCACCAGCUGAACAACCAAUUCCACCACCGUCUUCCUCCUCCUCUUCCACCGCCGCCGCCGCCACAGCAACCACCACUACCUCAGUAGCAUCACCACCUCUAAACCCUACCACAACCACCACUACUACUUCCGCCGCCGUUACCACUACUUCCGUCGCUGUCGCCAUAGUUCAACAGCAAACUCCAUUACUACCAAGACAGCCUUUUACUCGUACAUGGCAACAGCCAUCACCUUUUCAACACUUCUCUUUACCACCUCCACCACCACCACC